UCUUGGGUGCGCACAUACUUUUCCAAUCGAAAAUAUACUUAAAAAUUUGAUGAAAAACAAGGAAAAUCACAAAAUUUUACAAAAUAUGCAAAUUAAGGCAUGAUUUGUUGCCAUGGUAACUUGUUCAAUGUCCAAAAUUAUUUUGUUUUUCUGAAUACCUUCUACCUGAGAUACUUUUCAGUAAUUUAAAAAUAUGUAUGAUAACUUUUAAAUUUGCAGUAAUUUUUAGGCCAAAUAAGGGCCUUAUUGCCCCUACUCCUUUAUAAAAUUAAUAAACAA
RNAcentral lists this long non-coding RNA (279 nucleotides) under Mytilus galloprovincialis (Mediterranean mussel). Lineage: Eukaryota; Metazoa; Mollusca; Bivalvia; Mytilida; Mytilidae. The record is from RNAcentral.